RNAcentral lists this ribosomal RNA (253 nucleotides) under uncultured bacterium. RNAcentral describes it as "partial 16S ribosomal RNA". It matches the Rfam family "Bacterial small subunit ribosomal RNA", at positions 524 to 776 of the family's 1533-position model. The record is from RNAcentral.
UACAGAGGGUGCGAGCGUUAAUCGGAAUUACUGGGCGUAAAGCGCGCGUAGACGGUUUUGUAAGUCAGAUGUGAAAUCCCUGGGCUCAACCUGGGAACUGCAUUUGAAACUGCAUGGCUAGAGUAUGGAAGAGGGAAGUGGAAUUUACGGUGUAGCGGUGAAAUGCGUAGAUAUCGUAAGGAAGACCAGUGGCGAAGGCGGGUCUCUGGACAGUUCCUGACGCUGAGGCACGAAGGCCAGGGGAGCAAACGGG